AUCAUCGUUGUUAACUAAAACACAAGUCCCAUAUUUUAUUAACCAAAUUGGUUUAGAUCCCACAUUUUAUACAUCAGGAUCACCAAUUCUUCAUAGACAACACUGGCUUGGGAUAGACAGCAAACUCAUAACACACAAGCACUCACAAUCACAGCUACACAUAAACAACCGAACAAAUCAACUGCAGAAUUAACUAAGAGGCCUUGGAAGCAGGUGACUGAA
This 222-nucleotide unclassified non-coding RNA is filed under the name Hevea brasiliensis (rubber tree). Lineage: Eukaryota; Viridiplantae; Streptophyta; Magnoliopsida; Malpighiales; Euphorbiaceae. The record is from RNAcentral.